Molecule: long non-coding RNA, 227 nt
Filed under: Mytilus galloprovincialis (Mediterranean mussel)
Lineage: Eukaryota; Metazoa; Mollusca; Bivalvia; Mytilida; Mytilidae
Source: RNAcentral
GGUCGGGGCUAAAAAACAGGGUCGGUCAGGUUACCUGAAACACAGAUUUUUUUUUUUCUCGGCCCAAGGAGAGUUGUUAAAAUAAUGUGAAUACACAGAACCCCCAUCCAAUUACAGUUAUUUUUGGAAAACAAAUAGUGUGAUUUGUCAAAUUCAGCUGAUUUUUUAAUCGUCUUGAAAAAAGUGUACAUUUUAUGAGGGGGGAUAAUCCCGAGCUUAAAAACACC